Molecule: ribosomal RNA, 497 nt
Filed under: uncultured bacterium
Lineage: Bacteria
Description: partial 16S ribosomal RNA
Rfam family: Bacterial small subunit ribosomal RNA
Source: RNAcentral
GAUGAACGCUGGCGGCGUGCCUAAUACAUGCAAGUCGAGCGAACGGACGAGAAGCUUGCUUCUCUGAUGUUAGCGGCGGACGGGUGAGUAACACGUGGAUAACCUACCUAUAAGACUGGGAUAACUUCGGGAAACCGGAGCUAAUACCGGAUAAUAUUUUGAACCGCAUGGUUCAAAAGUGAAAGACGGUCUUGCUGUCACUUAUAGAUGGAUCCGGGCUGCAUUAGCUAGUAGGUAAGGUAACGGCUUACCAAGGCAACGAUGCAUAGCCGACCUGAGAGGGUGAUCGGCCACACUGGAACUGAGACACGGUCCAGACUCCUACGGGAGGCAGCAGUAUGGAAUCUGCCGCAAUGGGCGAAAGCCUGACGGAGCAACGCCGCGUGAGUGAUGAAGGUCUUCGGAUCGUAAAACUCUGUUAUUAGGGAAGAACAUAUGUGUAAGUAGCUGUGCACAGCUUGACGGUACCUAGUCAGAAAGCCACGGCUAACUACGUG